CACUGUAGCUGGCUGCAUGGGGGAGGAAGAUUUGUUCCAGGUGACAGACAGGACAAAACCUCCCAGUUUUGGUGACCUCCAGUCCCAGCACCUGGAUUCCUGAGCUUGUCACUUAAAGGUGCUGAGGACAAGCAGCUGUCUCUCCUCUGCCCUUCCACUCAGGCCAACCUCCGUCUUGAUGCUGGUGGAAAAAGAAGGAACGUGGCACAGUUCGUUGCAGAGAACCAAGGCUGCUGUUACGUCUGAGCAGUGAUUUAUAAUCACAGCAGAUAAAACCUGCGUGUCCAUCUCCCACGUCUCACAUCUAGGACACCUUCUGUCAUAUUAUUCAGAAAACCUAGAGGCAGAAAUCAAAGCUGAAGUUGUACUUUGUCCAUUCCUGAAACUUGAGUCACCAGGAGAUCUGGAGAGCAGAGACCAGAAAUGGGGACCAAGAAGAAGGAACUGAACAAGAAACCAAGUGAUGCCAGUUUCUGGCUGCUCCAGUUACAGGUGCAGUUGGCAAGUGGAUAAUAACAUAGUGAAGAAGCUGUGCCCAGUGUCCUUGCUGGAAUUCUCUGUCCCGUUCACUGACCUCUGCCCUCGGUGACGUGAAGUUGAUGUGCUGCUUCCUGCUGAUGG
Long non-coding RNA from Calidris pugnax (ruff), 621 nucleotides. RefSeq lists it as uncharacterized. NCBI's taxonomy places the organism in Eukaryota, Metazoa, Chordata, Aves, Charadriiformes, Scolopacidae. The transcript has 4 exons. The record is from RefSeq and is a predicted model, not a curated record.